This 427-nucleotide ribosomal RNA is filed under the name Chloroflexota bacterium. RNAcentral describes it as "Chloroflexi bacterium partial 16S ribosomal RNA". It matches the Rfam family "Bacterial small subunit ribosomal RNA", at positions 355 to 776 of the family's 1533-position model. Lineage: Bacteria; Bacillati; Chloroflexota. The record is from RNAcentral.
UGGGGAAUAUUGCACAAUGGGCGCAAGCCUGAUGCAGCCAUGCCGCGUGUAUGAAGAAGGCCUUCGGGUUGUAAAGUACUUUCAGUCGGGAGGAAGGUGGUAAGGUUAAUAACCUUGGCAAUUGACGUUACCGACAGAAGAAGCACCGGCUAACUCCGUGCCAGCAGCCGCGGUAAUACGGAGGGUGCAAGCGUUAAUCGGAAUUACUGGGCGUAAAGCGCACGCAGGCGGUUGAUUGAGUCAGAUGUGAAAUCCCCGGGCUUAACCCGGGAAUUGCAUCUGAUACUGGUCAGCUAGAGUCUUGUAGAGGGGGGUAGAAUUCCAUGUGUAGCGGUGAAAUGCGUAGAGAUGUGGAGGAAUACCGGUGGCGAAGGCGGCCCCCUGGACAAAGACUGACGCUCAGGUGCGAAAGCGUGGAGCAAACAGG